AAGCAACCCAGAGCCCUCCUCCCGCCUGCUCUGUGUAGGAGACAGCCUGCGGAGCCCACUGCCGGCGCGCAGAGAGCCCAGCAGCUCUUGAGUCCAGGAAGCAAGGGUGGGAGGAGGGACGAGCCAGUGGCAAUGACCCAGACCCGGACGACCCCCAUUGCUGAGCCAGCGGAGCUGCUUGGUGAGAGGCAGAGGUUGCAGUGAGCUGAGAUUUUGCGACUACACUCCAACCUGGGCAACAGAGCGGGACUCCAUUCCAAAAAAAUAAGAAAAACAGAAAAAUAAUAAUUACAUCUGCAAAGACCUUAUUUCCAGAUCCAAAGUCCACAAAUAUAUCAUAAAUCUGAAGAGGAACUGGGAGAAGCUUCUGCUGGCAGCUCAUGCCAUUGUUGCCAUUGAAAACCCUGCUGAUGUGUCAUAUCCUGCAGGAAUACUAGCUAGUGGGCUGUGCUGAAGUUUGCUGCUGCUGCUGGAGCCACAUGUAUUGCUGGUCACUUCACUUCUGGAACCUUUGCUAACCAGAUCCAAUCAUCUUCUGCCACCCACAUCUUCUGGUGGUUACUGAUUCUAGGGCUAACUAUCAGCCUCUCUCAGGGGCUUCUUAUGGUAACCUACCUACCUACCACUGCUGUAUGUAACAGAUUCUCCUCUGAGCUAUGUGGAUAUUGUCAUCCCAUGCAACAACAAGGAAGCUCAAUCACUGAGUCUAAUGUAGUGGAUGCUGGCCCAGGAAGCUCUGUGCAUGUGUUGCACCAUCUCCCAUGAUCAUGCCUGAUCUCUACUUCUAUAGAGAUCCUGAAGAGAUUGAAAAGGAAGAGUAGGCUGCAGCUGAAAAAGGAGGAAUUUCAAAGUGAAUGGACUGCUGUAGUGCAAGUUUACUGCUACUCAAUCUGAGGUUGCAGACUGGUUUAAAGACAUGCAGGUGCCCUCUGUGCCUAUUCAGCAGUUCCCUACUGAAGAUUGGAGCACUUAGCCUACCAUGAAUGACUGGUCUGCAACUUCCACUGCUCAGACCACUGAAUGGGUAAGAAUAACCACUGAGUGGCCUUAAGCUGUUCUUCCACAAGCUCUUAAACAAGAUGGAAAUAACGCUGAUGGAAAUAAACAACAGUUUCCAAGAAAACACGAACAGCUGAAGUGGCAAUGUUUAAGUAACAUCUGGUAGACUUUAACAUGAAUGUUAUUAAGCAGGAAAUUAUGAUCUUUUAAGUUGGAACAUGUAAUGUUAAUCCUUUUGCACCAAAAUAUCUCUUUAAGUCUAAAUUAUCCACUUUUUUUUUUAAUUCUUCGUAGAGAUAGAGGUUUCGCUUUGUUGCCCAGGCUGUUCUUGACUUCCUAACUUCAAGCAAUCCUUCUGCCUCAGCCUCCCAGAGUGCUGGGAUUAUAGGCAUUUGCCACCGUGCCUGGUGUACCCAGUUUCUGUUAUCAACAGAAUGCAGUGGUGUAUGGUUGCUAAAGGGUCCCAAGAUCAGGACCUACGUUAAGGUGGAUUUUGAAUUAUUUAAAAUUCUGAUUUUGUUUUAUUUUUAAUUAAUCUUUGGGGGAAGGAUGGGAGGGGGGUGAGGGUUGAAGAAGUAAACAUUGUACCUAUUGGAUACAAUGUUUAAUAUUUGUGUGAUGGGCACACUGGAAGCCCAAACCUCACUAUUACACAAUACAUUCAUGUAACAAGCCUGCACAUGCACCUCCUGAAUCUAUUUUUAAAAAUUUAAUUCUCUAGCACAGACUCCCUUUUUUUGGUAAGAUGGCGGGGUACGACUUAACUACUCGCAUCACGCACCUUUUGGAUCGGCAUCUAGUCUUUCCGCUCCUUGAGUUUCUCUCUGUAAAGGAGAUAUAUAAAGAAAAGGAAUUAUUACAAGGUAAAUUGGACCUUCUUAGUGAUGCCAACAUGGUAGACUUUGCUAUGGAUGCAUACAAAAACCUUUAUUCUGAUGAUAUUCCUCAUGCUUUGAAAGAGAAUAGAACCACAGUUGUUGCACAACUGAAACAGCUUCAGGCAGAAACAGAACUAAUUGUGAAAAUGUUUGAAGAUCCAGAAACGACAAGGCAAAUGCGGUCAACCAGGGAUGGUAGGAUGCUCUUUGACUACCUGGCGGACAAGCAUGGUUUUAGGCAGGAGUAUUUAGAUACAUUCUACACAUAUGCAAAAUUCCAGUAUGAAUGUGGGAAUUACUCAGGAGCAGCAGAAUAUCUUUAUUUUUUCAGAGUGUUGGUUCCAGCAACAGACAGAAAUGCUGUAAGUUCACUCUGGGGAAAGCUGGCCUCUGAAAUCUUAAAGCAGAAUUGGGAUGCAGACAUGGAAGACCUUACAUGGUUAAAAGAGACCAUAGAUAAUAAUUCUGUGAGUUCUCCACUCCAGUCUCUUCAGCAGAGAGCAUGGCUCGUUCACUGGUCUCUGUUUUCUUCAAUCACCCCAAAGGUUGUGAUAAUAUUGUUGAUCUCUUCCUUUACCAGCCACAGCAUCUUAAUGUGUCCACACAUUCUUCACUAUUUGACUACAGCAGUCAUAGCAAACAAGGAUGUUCGAAAACGUUGGCAGGUGCUAAAAGAUCUAGGUAAAGUUACUCAACAGGAGUCUUACACAUAUAAAGACCCAAUUACAGAAUUUGUUGAAUGCUUAUAGAUUAACUUUGACUUAGAUGGGGCUAAGAAAAAGCUGAGAGAAUGUGAAUCAGUGCUUGUGAACGACUUCUUGGUGGCUUGUCUUAAGGAUUUCAUUGACAAUGCCCAUCUCUUCAUAUUUGAGACUUUCUGUCACAUCCACCAGUGUAUCAGCAUUAACAUGUUGGCAGACAAAUUGAACAUGACUCCAGAUGAAACUGAAAGGUGGAUUGUAAAUGUGAUUAGAAAUGCAAGACUGGAUGCCAAGAUUGAUUCUAAAUUAGGUCAUGUGGUUAUGGUAACAAUGUACUCUCACCCUAUCAGCAAGUGAUUGAAAAGACCAAAAGCCUUUCUUUUAGAAGCUAGAUUUUGGCCAUGAAUAUUGAGAAGAAACUUAAUGACAAUAGCAGGUCAGAGGCUCCUAACUGGGCAACUCAAGAUUCUGGCUUCUACUGAAGAAACAUAAGGAAAAGAUUUUAAAAAAACUCUAAAAGAAAGAUGAAAUAAUAAAACUAUUAUAUAAAGGGUGACUUACAUUUUGGAAACAACAUAUUGAGUGUAAAUUGUGAAGAAUUGGAAUAAAAUUGACUGAUUCAAAAAAAUUUAAUUCACAAAAAAAUUUUAAUCCUUUUAAGCUAAUUAUAGAUUCACAUGUAGUUGUAAGAAGUUACAAAGAGGCUAGGUGCAGUAGCUGACGCCCAUGAUCCCCGCACUUUGGGAGGCCGAGGCAGGCAGAUCUCUUGAGGCCAGGAGUUUGAGACUAGCCUGGCCAACAUGGCAAAACCCCAUCUCUACAAAAAAUUAGCAAAGCAUGGUGGCACAUGCCUGUAAUUACAGCUACUUGGGAGGCUGAGGCAUGAGAAUCACUUGACCUGGGAUUACAAGUGUAAUCCCAGCCAUAGGCUGGGUGCAGUGGCUCACACCUGUAAUCCCAGCACUUUGGGAGGCCAAGGUACGGGUGGAUCACCUGAGGUCAAGAGUUCAAGACCAGCCUGGCCAACAUGGUGAAACCCCGUCUCUACAAAAACACAAAAAUUAGCCGGGCAUGAUGGUGCGCACCUGUAAUCCCAGCUACUCAGGAGGCUGAGGCAGGAGAAUCGCAUGAACCCAGGAGGCAGAUGUUGCAGUGAGCCAAGAUCACGCCAUUGCACUCCAGCCUGGGCAACAGAGUGAGACUCCACCUCAAAAAAAAAAAAACAAAAAAAAACCACCAGCCAUUUGGGAAGCCAAGGCAGGAUUGCUUGAGACCAACCAGAAGUUCAAGGUUGCCUGGGCAACAGAGCAAGACUGUCUCGAGACAAAACAAAAAGUCAGCAUCUUCUGCCCACUUUUACUUUAACAUACAUUUAUGGAUCUAUUGUCUCUUUCCCUGUUCUAAAACUUUAAAUUUCACAAGAAUGAAGAUUUUGCUGUCUUGUUUCCUGCUGUGUCCCCAGCAUAAACAGCAUAAAGAAGUGCCAUAAGAUAGAAAUUUUUGUUUUCUGUUCACCAGUAUAUCCACAGCACCUAGAACAGCAUCUGCUUUAGACUUAUUAGAUGAAGACUUAAAAAAAAAAGGAACAGCACUUCUGCACAUAUUUAGCACUUGAUACAUAUUUGUGGAAUAAUUUCUAUCAUAACUAGCAGCUACUUCCUAAUUUGAUAUGUAGCAUCCCGUAUUAACAGGACUUUUGUGAAUGGAGAGGACAUCUAUUUAUUCUUUGUUAUGUGCCAAAUAUAUUUGUAUUAAUCAUAACUCUUAAUAUUCCUUUAAAAUUAAAUAAUUGUUUCCACAGCUCUUAAAAUAGAAUUUAGGAACCUAGCAACAUGCCACUCAUCCAUUAACAGUGAUAAAUUAUUUAAUUUUAUAAACUUUUCAUUAAAGUAACUGAUAUAGUUUGGA
Molecule: long non-coding RNA, 4486 nt
Filed under: Homo sapiens (human)
Lineage: Eukaryota; Metazoa; Chordata; Mammalia; Primates; Hominidae
Description: KHDC1 antisense RNA 1, transcript variant 10 (KHDC1-AS1)
Source: RNAcentral